This 279-nucleotide ribosomal RNA is filed under the name uncultured bacterium. Its description in RNAcentral is "partial 16S ribosomal RNA". It matches the Rfam family "Bacterial small subunit ribosomal RNA", at positions 506 to 784 of the family's 1533-position model. The record is from RNAcentral.
UGCCAGCAGCCGCGGUAAUACGGAGGGGGUUAGCGUUGUUCGGAAUUACUGGGCGUAAAGCGCGCGUAGGCGGCCUGGUCAGUCGGAUGUGAAAGCCCCGGGCUUAACCUGGGAAUUGCAUUCGAUACUGCCUGGCUAGAGUAUGGGAGAGGGAAGUGGAAUUUCCGGUGUAGCGGUGAAAUGCGUAGAUAUCGGAAGGAACACCAGUGGCGAAGGCGGCUUCCUGGCCCAAUACUGACGCUCAGGUGCGAAAGCGUGGGGAGCAAACAGGAUUAGAUA